AUCGUAGAUCAGCAUGCUACGGUGAAUACGUUCCCGGGUCUUGUACACACCGCCCGUCACACCACGAGAGUUUGUAACACCCGAAGCCGGUGGAGUAACCAUUUGGAGCUAGCCGUCGAAGGUGGGACAAAUGAUUGGGGUGAAGUCGUAACAAGGUAGCCGUAUCGGAAGGUGCGGCUGGAUCACCUCCUUU
RNAcentral lists this ribosomal RNA (193 nucleotides) under Streptococcus pneumoniae. RNAcentral describes it as "partial 16S ribosomal RNA". It matches the Rfam family "Bacterial small subunit ribosomal RNA", at positions 1341 to 1533 of the family's 1533-position model. Lineage: Bacteria; Bacillati; Bacillota; Bacilli; Lactobacillales; Streptococcaceae. The record is from RNAcentral.